This 274-nucleotide small nuclear RNA is filed under the name Erinaceus europaeus (western European hedgehog). RNAcentral describes it as "7SK RNA". It matches the Rfam family "7SK RNA". From Rfam's summary of the family: 7SK was discovered as an abundant small nuclear RNA in the mid-70s but a possible function has only recently been suggested. The record is from Rfam by way of RNAcentral. Lineage: Eukaryota; Metazoa; Chordata; Mammalia; Eulipotyphla; Erinaceidae.
AGAUCUGGCUGCGACAUCUGUCACCCCAUUGAUCACCAGGGUUGAUUUGGCUGAUCUGGCUGGCUAGGCGGGUGUCCCCUUCCUCCCUCACCGCUCCAUGUGCGUCCCUCCCGAUGAAGAGUACGGCCUUCCCUGAAUAGAGACAGAUGGUCUUCAGUCGAGAGUAUAUGAGUAGCUGCGCUUCCCUGCAAGAACCUCCAAAGAAGCUCUAAAGAAAAUAGAAAGGGGAGUCGGGCUGUAGCGCAGUGGGUUAAGUGCAGGUGGCGCAAAGCAC